CCUACGGGAGGCAGCAGUGAGGAAUAUUGGUCAAUGGCCGGAAGGCUGAACCAGCCAAGCCGCGUGAAGGACGAAGGUGCCAAGCAUUGUAAACUUCUUUUGUCAAGGGACAAACUCCGGCUCGAGCGCCUGACCGAGUGUACUUGAAGAAACAGCAUCGGCUAACUCCGUGCCAGCAGCCGCGGUAAUACGGAGGAUGCGAGCGUUAUCCGGAUUUAUUGGGUUUAAAGGGUGCGUAGGCGGACUUUUAAGUCAGCGGUAAAAGCCCGGCGCUCAACCCCGGCGAGCCGUUGAAACUGGCGGUCUGGAGAGGGCGAGAGGUAUGCGGAAUGCGCAGGGUAGCGGGGAAAUGCUUAGAUAUUGCGCAGAACUCCGAUUGCGAAGGCAGCAUACCGGCGGCGAUCUGACGCUGAGGCACGAAAGCGUGGGUAUCGAACAGGAUUAGAUACCCUGGUAGUC
Molecule: ribosomal RNA, 459 nt
Filed under: uncultured bacterium
Lineage: Bacteria
Description: partial 16S ribosomal RNA
Rfam family: Bacterial small subunit ribosomal RNA
Source: RNAcentral